This 67-nucleotide transfer RNA is filed under the name Planctomycetota bacterium. Its description in RNAcentral is "tRNA-Phe". It matches the Rfam family "tRNA". From Rfam's summary of the family: Transfer RNA (tRNA) molecules are approximately 80 nucleotides in length. Their secondary structure includes four short double-helical elements and three loops (D, anti-codon, and T loops). The record is from RNAcentral. Lineage: Bacteria; Pseudomonadati; Planctomycetota.
GUAGCUCAUCUGGUAGAGCAACGGACUGAAAAUCCGUGUGUCGGCGGUUCGAAUCCGCCCCUGCCCA